This 502-nucleotide long non-coding RNA is filed under the name Gouania willdenowi (blunt-snouted clingfish). RNAcentral's name for it is "lncRNA (ENSGWIG00000018025.1)". The record is from RNAcentral. Lineage: Eukaryota; Metazoa; Chordata; Actinopteri; Blenniiformes; Gobiesocidae.
AGUGAGGCCAUUGAUGUGUGGGCCCUUGGUUGUGUGCUUGUAUUCCUCUACAUUGGAGAAAACCUCUUCUCUGUGUUCUGUGAAUACCAAACGAUGAAGCGUGUUUCAGAGCUCCUUGGGUUACCGAGGGACGACCAGCUUCAGGCCGGGGCUUACACCAGUGUCUUCUUUUGUGAGGCCGAGGAGGGCUCAAAAUGGCGACUGAUGACACCAGAGGAAUAUGAAUUUCAUAACAUCAUCUCAACUAAGGAGGAACACUAUAGUGUUAAGAUCUCUACUUUGGAUGAUCUGGUCAAUGUUCAUUCAGGAGAAGAAAGUGGUGAGGUUGAGGACAGAGAAGCCUUCGUGGACCUGCUGAAGCAGCUUCUCUGCUUGGAUGGAAAUGAAAGGAUCUCUCCCUGUCAGGCUCAGUUCCAUCCUUUCUUCAGAACAUCCCACCUCAACCAGCAGGAGACCAUCAGACACCAUCAACCCUCAUUACAGGCUGAUGAGACCUCCUGCC